AACGAACGCUGGCGGCAGGCCUAACACAUGCAAGUCGAGCGAACCCUUCGGGGUUAGCGGCGGACGGGUGAGUAACGCGUGGGAACGUGCCCUUUGCUACGGAAUAGCCCCCGGGAAACUGGGAGUAAUACCGUAUGUGCCCUUCGGGGGAAAGAUUUAUCGGCAAAGGAUCGGCCCGCGUUGGAUUAGGUAGUUGGUGGGGUAAUGGCCUACCAAGCCGACGAUCCAUAGCUGGUUUGAGAGGAUGAUCAGCCACACUGGGACUGAGACACGGCCCAGACUCCUACGGGAGGCAGCAGUGGGGAAUCUUAGACAAUGGGCGCAAGCCUGAUCUAGCCAUGCCACGUGAUCGAUGAAGGCCUUAGGGUUGUAAAGAUCUUUCAGUGGGGAAGAUAAUGACUGUACCCACAGAAGAAGCCCCGGCUAACUCCGUG
This 434-nucleotide ribosomal RNA is filed under the name uncultured bacterium. Its description in RNAcentral is "bacterial SSU rRNA". It matches the Rfam family "Bacterial small subunit ribosomal RNA", at positions 29 to 507 of the family's 1533-position model. The record is from RNAcentral.